RNAcentral lists this ribosomal RNA (497 nucleotides) under uncultured bacterium. RNAcentral describes it as "partial 16S ribosomal RNA". It matches the Rfam family "Bacterial small subunit ribosomal RNA", at positions 28 to 507 of the family's 1533-position model. The record is from RNAcentral.
GAUGAACGCUGGCGGCGUGCCUAAUACAUGCCAGUCGAGCGAACGGACGAGAAGCUUGCUUCUCUGAUGUUAGCGGCGGACGGGUGAGUAACACGUGGAUAACCUCCCUAUAAGUCUGGGAUAACUUCGGGAAACCGGAGCUAAUACCGGAUAAUAUUUUGAACCGCAUGGUUCAAUAGUGAAAGACGGUCUUGCUGUCACUUAUAGCUGGAUCCGCGCUGCAUUAGCUAGUUGGUAAGGUAACGGCUUACCAAGGCAACGAUGCAUAGCCGACCUGAGAGGGUGAUCGGCCGCACUGGAGCUGGGACACGGUCCAGGGUCCUACGGGAGGCAGCGGUAGGGAAUCUUCCGCAAUGGGCGAAAGCCUGACGGAGCAACGCCGCGUGAGUGAUGAAGGUCUUCGGAUCGGAAAACUCUGUUAUGAGGGAAGAACAUAUGUGUAAGUAACUGUGCACAGCUUGACGGUACCUAAUCAGAAAGCAACGGCUAACUACGUG